GUUAGGGCGUCCGUGUCCCACAGGGCAGUGCCUGGGUUGGAUGCACAGCCCCAGAUCCAGAGCCUGCCUUCCUGCUAAUGUGGAUUCUGGGAGGCAGUGGUCAAGGACCAAGUAGCUGGGUUCCUGCCACCCACGUGGGAGACCUGGAUUGAGUAUCCAGGCUCCUGGCUCUGGCCCAGCACUGGCUGUUGUGGGCAUGUGCAGAGUGCAAGUUGAAGCAGUAGCCCUUGUGAGUUGAGAGCAAAAGAUGUUGUCUUCACUGACCGCCUCAAUAUUCCUCCUGUGUCGUCAGAGAAGCGUGUAACCCAAUUUUUCUUUUGGUUCCUGCCCUUUGGAAGUGGAAUUGGAGUUGUUUUCUGCAAGUGGAGUUGCUAGAAACAGCGAGAGGUUGCUCCGUUCUGAGGGCGGCAACCCUGUGUGACAUUCCUGUCUCACCCUCUACACAGAACUUCACACAGAAGGGACGAAGUGAGCACCCGACAGCGUGACGUCAGAACCUUGGCAGACGUGAGGGAGAGCCACGCCCGCCCCAGGGGAGCAGGAGAAGGCUCUGUAGCUUAUCGACAAAAGCGUCAGUGUUGAUCAAGGGCACGGCUUCCGAUAACACUUUCACUUGCGCUCCGCACGGCAGGACUGACAGUGCCACUCCCGUGAACCGAAGUCUAAAACGGGCUUCACCUCGGAGAAAGUGCUGGGACUGCCUCAGGAGUGUUAUUGCUGUUGUUGGUUUUGAUGCUCCGGUUUGCGGAGACCAGGAGGCUGUGAAAACACCGAUCCUGACUUUUUUUCGCAUGCUCUGCUCAAACUCCUCUUCCUCGCUCUUGUGAACGGAGUACAACAGGAAACGGCUUCCUGUUAGAUAGCGAUCUUGGGAAAGCUACUGAAGAAGAAACGCUCUGAGCGCACUUUGGGGACACAGAGUGCAUUUACACAAAUUAACCAACACUCGAGCUCCUUAUCUGUGAGGUUUUGCCAAAAUAAAUUCAGCGCUUGCCUUGGCCA
Molecule: long non-coding RNA, 1002 nt
Filed under: Oryctolagus cuniculus (rabbit)
Lineage: Eukaryota; Metazoa; Chordata; Mammalia; Lagomorpha; Leporidae
Description: lncRNA (ENSOCUG00000038884.1)
Source: RNAcentral